CGCCUGUUUAACAAAAACAUGUCUUUUCGAGUAUAAUCUAAAGUCUAACCUGCCCAAUGAGGAGUUAAAUGGCCGCGGUAAUCUGACCGUGCAAAGGUAGCAUAAUCAUUAGUUUUUUAAUUGGAAGCUGGUAUGAAUGGUUGGACGAGAGAGCGACUGUCUCGGUUUAAUUUUAUUAGAACUUUAUUUUUAAGUAAGAAAGCUUAAAUGAAUUUAAAAGACGAGAAGACCCUAUAGAGUUUUAUAUUUUUUAUAGUAUACAUUAUGUAGUAUUAGUUAAGUUUGUAUUAUAGAAAGUAUUUUGCUGGGGCGGUAGAAAAAUUGAAUGAACUUUUUUUAUAGUAUACCAUUAAUUUAUGAGUAAGUGAUCCGUCUUAGGGCGAUUAUAAGAUUAAAUUACCUUAGGGAUAACAGCGUAAUUUUCUUUGAGAGUUCUAAUCGAAAGGAGAGUUUGCGACCUCGAUGUUGGAUUAAAAUUUACUUUUGGUGUAGGAGCUAAAAGGUUAGGUCUGUUCGACCUUUAAAAUUUUACAUGAUCUGAGUUCAAACCGGAG
This 554-nucleotide ribosomal RNA is filed under the name Schizonycha fallax. RNAcentral describes it as "partial 16S ribosomal RNA". It matches the Rfam family "Bacterial large subunit ribosomal RNA", at positions 1797 to 2621 of the family's 2925-position model. Lineage: Eukaryota; Metazoa; Arthropoda; Insecta; Coleoptera; Scarabaeidae. The record is from RNAcentral.